This 766-nucleotide long non-coding RNA is filed under the name Coturnix japonica (Japanese quail). Its description in RNAcentral is "lncRNA (ENSCJPG00005012585.1)". The record is from RNAcentral. Lineage: Eukaryota; Metazoa; Chordata; Aves; Galliformes; Phasianidae.
UUUGGCUAAAAACAAUAAUUAUUUCAUCGGUAGGGGGCAUUCUUGUAUUUCCAGAACAGGAAAGAAAUACAGCUCUGUUACUGUUCAGCUGUGCUGAAUAGCAUGCACAGCAGCAGCAUUCAGCACAGAAAGACUUGAGAAUAUGAAUAGCAACUGUUAACUGAAGGUUAGAAUUACUUAACUCUGCAUAUUCUGAAAAUCAGGUGACAUCUUAAAAGUGAAAAGUUUCUGAGAAGACUUGUUUUCAAAUGAGAAAGAGAUGAACAAUUACUUCAGUGCUUCAUGUAUGACAAUGCAGUUUGCUUGGAGGCAGAUUGAAGAUAUCCUGCAAGAGGAUCUUCCAUGCCCAGAGCUUCCCUGUGGAACCUGCAGCACCUUUGCCUUCUCUGAGGUUAACUGGUUAACCAUCACUCAACUUUUGUAACACAGCAGCACUGGGGCAUUUGUUAAUGGUGGUACAUGGUAAGCAGUGCCACUGUGUUGUUACACAACUGAAAGUUAGAUUGAAACAAACACUAGGGACUGACAGUUUCACUGUCACCGGCCCAAAUUUUUAGUAGCUAAAUGACUGAAAAGAGGUACGUGUUGGAUCUUCUUAUUACAAACAUUUGACUGAACCUGUAUGCAAUGCCAUCAUCACUUUUUCAUCCCCUGAGUAUAUUUAUUAGUGGAAAUUCAAUUAAGCUUGUCAUUUUCUUCCACAAUCAAAAUUUUAUUAGAACAAAAAAUUUAAUGUUUGCUAGAUACUGCCAGUUUGUAAUGGAAA